AAGUACCACAUUGUGGUUUCAGGCGAGAGUUCCCAUCCAGAGAGAGCAACUCCAUCAGGAUUUUGGUACUGGAUGAACCACUUUCCACAAUGCCUACCUUUUCCACCCCGGACCAGGCUGUUCUGAGUUUUGCCUCCACAACCAGGCCACCUAGAACGUCAACACUGGCAACUUCUUCAACCAGCUCUUCUCGCUACAUCGCCAGAACACCCUCAACACGCACAAAGCUCCUUGCAUCAAGCACCUCCUGGUCCAGCUCUUCGCAGAUGAGUCUGCAUUAUAGCACCUCAACCAGCAGCACCAAUGCUCAGGAGAGCAGGAAAUCAUCCUCCUGCUGUGAUCCCAAAUCAAUCACAGACCAAAAGAAGGA
This is a non-coding RNA of Podarcis muralis (Common wall lizard), 370 nucleotides long. The record is from RefSeq and is a predicted model, not a curated record. Lineage: Eukaryota; Metazoa; Chordata; Lepidosauria; Squamata; Lacertidae.